UACAGAGGUCCCGAGCGUUGUUCGGAUUCACUGGGCGUAAAGGGUGCGUAGGUGGCAGGGUAAGUCGGAUGUGAAAGCUCGGAGCUCAACUCCGAAAUGGCAUUGGAAACUACCCAGCUCGAGGACUGGAGAGGAGACUGGAAUUCACGGUGUAGCAGUGAAAUGCGUAGAUAUCGUGAGGAAGACCAGUGGCGAAGGCGGGUCUCUGGACAGUUCCUGACGCUGAGGCACGAAGGCCAGGGGAGCAAACGGG
This 253-nucleotide ribosomal RNA is filed under the name uncultured bacterium. RNAcentral's name for it is "partial 16S ribosomal RNA". It matches the Rfam family "Bacterial small subunit ribosomal RNA", at positions 524 to 776 of the family's 1533-position model. The record is from RNAcentral.